GACGAACGCUGGCGGCGUGCCUAAUACAUGCAAGUUGAGCGCUGAAGGUUGGUACUUGUACCGACUGGAUGAGCAGCGAACGGGUGAGUAACGCGUGGGGAAUCUGCCUUUGAGCGGGGGACAACAUUUGGAAACGAAUGCUAAUACCGCAUAACAACUUUAAACACAAGCUUUAAGUUUGAAAGAUGCAAUUGCAUCACUCAAACAUGAUCCCGCGUUGUAUUAGCUAGUUGGUGAGGUAAAGGCUCACCAAGGCGAUGAUACAUAGCCGACCUGAGAGGGUGAUCGGCCACAUUGGGACUGAGACACGGCCCAAACGCCUACGGGAGGCAGCAGUAGGGAAUCUUCGGCAAUGGACGAAAGUCUGACCGAGCAACGCCGCGUGAGUGAAGAAGGUUUUCGGAUCGUAAAACUCUGCUGGUAGAGAAGAACGUUGGUGAGAGUGGAAAGCUCAUCAAGUGACGGUAACUACCCAGAAAGGGACGGCUAACUACGUGCCAGCCGCCGCAGUAA
Molecule: ribosomal RNA, 513 nt
Filed under: uncultured bacterium
Lineage: Bacteria
Description: partial 16S ribosomal RNA
Rfam family: Bacterial small subunit ribosomal RNA
Source: RNAcentral